This is an unclassified non-coding RNA of Erinaceus europaeus (western European hedgehog), 305 nucleotides long. Its record names the gene 7SK. It matches the Rfam family "7SK RNA". Rfam says of the family: 7SK was discovered as an abundant small nuclear RNA in the mid-70s but a possible function has only recently been suggested. Two independent studies have found that 7SK RNA binds the CDK9/cyclin T complex (known as elongation factor P-TEFb). P-TEFb activates transcription by phosphorylating the C-terminal domain of RNA polymerase II. NCBI's taxonomy places the organism in Eukaryota, Metazoa, Chordata, Mammalia, Eulipotyphla, Erinaceidae. The record is from Ensembl.
GGAUAUGAGGGUGAUCUGAUAUCGGUUACCCUAUUGAUUGCCAGGGUUGAUCCGGCUGGCUAGGCAGAUAUCCCCUUCCUCCUUCACCACUCCAUGUGCAUUCCUUCUAAAGCUGCAUGCUCAGUUGAAGAGGACAACUGUCCCUGCAUAGAAAAAACAGACCAGUCUUCUGUUGAGGAUGUACCAGUUGCUGUGCUUCCCUGCUAGACAAGCUCUCAAGAACAUGGGUGUAAAGAGAUUGGCCAAAUCAUAGGGAAUAUAAGCAUUCAAUGAGUAAUUGGAAAUGAUAGCCAGGCUGGUGGUAU